UGGGGAAUUUUGGACAAUGGGCGAAAGCCUGAUCCAGCAAUGCCGCGUGUGUGAAGAAGGCCUUCGGGUUGUAAAGCACUUUUGUCCGGAAAGAAAUCCUUGGCUCUAAUACAGUCGGGGGAUGACGGUACCGGAAGAAUAAGCACCGGCUAACUACGUGCCAGCAGCCGCGGUAAUACGUAGGGUGCAAGCGGUUAAUCGGAAUUACUGGGCGUAAAGCGUGCGCAGGCGGUUUGCUAAGACCGAUGUGAAAUCCCCGGGCUCAACCUGGGAACUGCAUUGGUGACUGGCGGGCUAGAGUAUGCAGAGGGGGGUAGAAUUCCACGUGUAGCAGGUGAAAUGCGUAGAGAUGUGGAGGAAUACCGAUGCGAAGGCAG
Molecule: ribosomal RNA, 377 nt
Filed under: uncultured bacterium
Lineage: Bacteria
Description: partial 16S ribosomal RNA
Rfam family: Bacterial small subunit ribosomal RNA
Source: RNAcentral